CAGUAGCCGCGGUAAUACGUAGGGUGCGAGCGUUAAUCGGAAUUACUGGGCGUAAAGCGUGCGCAGGCGGUUAUAUAAGACAGAUGUGAAAUCCCCGGGCUCAACCUGGGACCUGCAUUUGUGACUGUAUAGCUAGAGUACGGUAGAGGGGGAUGGAGUUCCGCGUGUAGCAGUGAAAUGCGUAGAUAUGCGGAGGAACACCGAUGGCGAAGGCAAUCCCCUGGACCUGUACUGACGCUCAUGCACGAAAGCGUGGGGAGCAAACAGGAUUAGAUACCCCAGUAGUCCCUGUCUCUUAUAA
This 301-nucleotide ribosomal RNA is filed under the name uncultured bacterium. RNAcentral's name for it is "partial 16S ribosomal RNA". It matches the Rfam family "Bacterial small subunit ribosomal RNA", at positions 509 to 809 of the family's 1533-position model. The record is from RNAcentral.